Long non-coding RNA from Clupea harengus (Atlantic herring), 2419 nucleotides. The record is from Ensembl. Lineage: Eukaryota; Metazoa; Chordata; Actinopteri; Clupeiformes; Clupeidae.
CACACACGCACACACACACACACACACACACAGCGGGAGGCACACCCCUCUUGACUCAGCUCCAACAGCAAAGCGCCUUAAUACACUCACUCUCUUUUUCUCUCUCAUACAUACAUACAUACAUACAUACAUACAUAGACACACAGACAAUGGUCCAUCUAAGACAGUAUGGCUGACAUCACGCAAUAUGACACACAUACAGGUCUUGUUGCAUUGUCCAACACCAAGCUGUGACCAGAAGCCAACAUGCUUAAAGGUUGGAGAGGAGGGUCUCACCACUUAACAUUAGCAAGUGCAAGGACAGCCAGGAAAACAUGCACUACAUGAAUAGCACUAAAAUGUGUCAAGACACAUAUACUUGCCUUACUGAUACAAUCUAUGCGAAAAGCCUGACAUUGUUCUAUGCAAAAGCCUUGACACAAUUAUCCUGAUUUUAUUCACUGACUUUCACAACCGACAAAUAAAAUACUUUUGUACUUCACAUCACCAACAAAUCUUUUUGCAAAAACAUUGACACGUUCAAGCUGAAGGUGAUAUUGCAUCGGAAUCAAAAAAUGUGCCGCUCUAAGCUGCAGACCUUACCGGGAUCAUCUGUUAACAGCUCCACUGCAGACCCGGCGCGCCAGACAGGAGUGAGGGGGGAAUACUGCAAGACAAUGCACACCGGUAUUUUGACACCAAACAUCGGUAAACAGUGACACAAACGAUCUGUCUUAUUCAGUUGGAGACAAAUAUGCGGUCUACAGCAUGUUGAAUAUUCCAGCUAAUUUGAAAACAGAACCCAUAUCUUCAGCUGUGAUCUAACAGAGUAUGCAUGACUUCAUCGGGUCUCGUCGUCUAAUUUUAGGACUGUAGCUACUACCCAGUCAUACAUCCUUGUACUUAGUCUUUUUAGCGUUCAUUUGUCAGUGUACAUAAUGUUCCUACCUAGUAAAAUGAAGCACCCACAACGGUAAACCUUGGAAUAAGUUGCAAAAAAAUCGGUUUCUUGUUGACUGCCCGUUAAGGUCAGUGAAAUGCUCUCUGCCUAGAUGUCAUUGUGAGCUAUUCUAAUGGAGCGACGAGGUGAUAGAAGGAGAAUACCAACUCUUUAGUUCAGUACGGUCAUUUUGUUACCAUAGCACACGGGCAGUUCUGCAAACCCAACUGAUAUGACAUGAAACACAUACUGUACUGCAAUAAGUAUGUCUUGCAACCAAACCUCUUAUCAAUGUGCAAAGUAUUCAGUUUGCUGAUAGCCAGGGCAGCUGCUGGAUAGCUUCGAAACAACCAGGAGCUAAUGUCAAAUCGUAGACUUAUUAACCCUGACGUCAACAGUGAACAACAAAUAACUAACGUUAGACUACUAGUGAUGUUCACGACCUUUAUAUAGUUAGGUAAGGUUAUCCAUCAUACUAAAAUAUGUACUGCGUCGAAAUUGGUUUCAUAUAUGUUAAAGGAAAUUGUCCGAACAGAGACAACGGGAUCGCUAAAUGACUAUGAAGGGCUCAACGCUUCCAGUUAUUUCCCCUUUAUUUACCAAAUUUGGUCGCAUUGCCACGACUUUCCGGUUGGACUCCACCACAACUGAAGAACAAAGCCGCACACUUCUCAGGCUAGCAGUUGCAGUCAGGCAUGAUCAUUGCUCACUAAUAACAUUCACGCGUUGAUGACAUUUCUAACAAAUAUUGAGCUAGAUAGAUUGAGUAAUUGUCUCGUCAAAUACAGACACAAUGCCCAGUUAGCCCUCGUUUGGCAGCUGGAAAGCUCAAACCAUGCUAUGCUAAGGUUAGCUGGCAAACGUUACACUUGGAGUAUGUAGGAGGACUUGCAUUAGGUAACUGCAAGCGACCCAGUUAGCCGUCUUCCAUGCAAAGGUUUUGUUUCAUGGUCGAAAUAUACGAUAUGCAAUUCUACUGUUAAACAUCUCUGCUAGAGAACUUCGCUAAUCAUCGACCUUAUGCUAAAAACUACUAAGUAUAAGCUUUAGCCAAGUUAGCUUGCUGAGUUAUUCAGAGGACUGUCUUGCAAGGUGAUAUUUUGCAAGUUUACCAAGCCGUGUCAUUGCAACUAUCUGGCAUUAAUGCAGUCAAUGUUACUUACACACCCCUUCAUGUCGUCCAGUUUUGACUCAGAAUUGCUGUUGCACAGCAAUAUCAUGCAAAAAAACAGGUAAUUCAGUUGAAUGGAUAUUAGAUAGCCAAGGUACCGUUCUCAAAACAAUUAGCACAGCCUUUUACUGGGUACUGCGGCCCCGUUUAAGGCUGCGUUGAGUCACCUACCAAUAGCUUUAAAUUUGGUAGUUAGUUACACCCAACAAUGAGCCUUUCUAACCACUGUUGGCCUGGGGCCAAGCCCCCCAUUCCAGCCGCAGCAACGAUACCGCUAGCCAGACUGCUUACUCGACAGUCCGACAAAUCUACCGAAGCCCUUCUCUGUC